GGGCCCGUAGCUCAGCGGUUAGAGCAGCGGACUCAUAAUCCGUUGGUCCUAGGUUCAAAUCCUAGCGGGCCCACUA
RNAcentral lists this transfer RNA (76 nucleotides) under Acidobacteria bacterium 13_2_20CM_57_17. Its description in RNAcentral is "tRNA-Met". It matches the Rfam family "tRNA". From Rfam's summary of the family: Transfer RNA (tRNA) molecules are approximately 80 nucleotides in length. Their secondary structure includes four short double-helical elements and three loops (D, anti-codon, and T loops). RNAcentral also lists the same sequence under 1 other name. The record is from RNAcentral. Lineage: Bacteria; Pseudomonadati; Acidobacteriota.